RNAcentral lists this ribosomal RNA (465 nucleotides) under uncultured Klebsiella sp. RNAcentral's name for it is "bacterial SSU rRNA". It matches the Rfam family "Bacterial small subunit ribosomal RNA", at positions 338 to 795 of the family's 1533-position model. The record is from RNAcentral. Lineage: Bacteria; Pseudomonadati; Pseudomonadota; Gammaproteobacteria; Enterobacterales; Enterobacteriaceae.
CCUACGGGAGGCUGCAGUGGGGAAUAUUGCACAAUGGGCGCAAGCCUGAUGCAGCCAUGCCGCGUGUGUGAAGAAGGCCUUCGGGUUGUAAAGCACUUUCAGCGGGGAGGAAGGCGGUGAGGUUAAUAACCUCAUCGAUUGACGUUACCCGCAGAAGAAGCACCGGCUAACUCCGUGCCAGCAGCCGCGGUAAUACGGAGGGUGCAAGCGUUAAUCGGAAUUACUGGGCGCAAAGCGCACGCAGGCGGUCUGUCAAGUCGGAUGUGAAAUCCCCGGGCUCAACCUGGGAACUGCAUUCGAAACUGGCAGGCUAGAGUCUUGUAGGGGGGGGUAGAAUUCCAGGUGUAGCGGUGAAAUGCGUAGAGAUCUGGAGGAAUACCGGUGGCGAAGGCGGCCCCCUGGACAAAGACUGACGCUCAGGUGCGAAAGCGUGGGGAGCAAACAGGAUUAGAUACCCCAGUAGUC